GACGAACGCUGGCGGCGUGCUUAACACAUGCAAGUCGAACGGAAAGGCCCUGCUUUUGUGGGGUGCUCGAGUGGCGAACGGGUGAGUAACACGUGAGUAACCUGCCCUUGACUUUGGGAUAACUUCAGGAAAUUGGGGCUAAUACCGGAUAGGAGCUCCUGCUGCAUGGUGGGGGUUGGAAAGUUUCGGCGGUUGGGGAUGGACUCGCGGCUUAUCAGCUUGUUGGUGGGGUAGUGGCUUACCAAGGCUUUGACGGGUAGCCGGCCUGAGAGGGUGACCGGCCACAUUGGGACUGAGAUACGGCCCAGACUCCUACGGGAGGCAGCAGUGGGGAAUAUUGCAAAAUGGGCGGAAGCCUGAUGCAGCAACGCCGCGUGCGGGAUGACGGCCUUCGGGUUGUAAACCGCUUUCGCCUGUGACGAAGCGUGAGUGACGGUAAUGGGUAAAGAAGCACCGGCUAACUACGUG
This 468-nucleotide ribosomal RNA is filed under the name uncultured bacterium. Its description in RNAcentral is "partial 16S ribosomal RNA". It matches the Rfam family "Bacterial small subunit ribosomal RNA", at positions 28 to 507 of the family's 1533-position model. The record is from RNAcentral.